GCUAGUUUAGUGGGAGUUGGACCUCCUUAUAAGGGAGGAUGUUUUCACACAUGUAUGAGCUUGAGAACAAGAGAGACAUACACGCGCGCUCCUCCUCCGCCGCCCGCCUCGCCUCGUCGCACCGCGGGAAUGAGCCGAGCCGAACUAAUUUUUUGCCACGCACGACUGGUAUAUGAAAGGCCAUUCGAGAAAAGCUGAACGUUUUCUGCUGUAGUGGAUAUUGAAAGCUCACGCUGCAGUUUCGAACGUUUUCUGCUGUAGUGGAUAUUGAAAGCAGUUGCGUCUGUUCGCUUCACAUCCGUCGCUCGUCUUUCGUCUCCUUCUCCUGCGCCUAUAAAAGAGAGGUCGCUCCUCUCCAGAGAUACGACGCAUCAGAAGUUCCCACUCGCCACCGGUUUCUUCUCUCUCUGCUGCUGCUACGUUCUUCCUCAUCCCGUCCUGCGGCGUGCACCGUUCGUCGGGACAGUAGGCCUCCGAAACUCCGCCUCUUCGAGUCCUGUACGGGAGAAGGGCGAUAAGGUUUUUGGGGAGCGCUCAGCGCGACUACUGGCUUCCAUCACGUACUCCGACGAUCUCUUCCCGAACGACGACUUCUUCCCCGACAUCGACCACCUCUUCGGUACUAUGGCCAACGAUAACGCCAACACCAAUGCUCCUGCUGCUGCAUCUCAGUACGUACUUUUGUGCUUCUUCUUUGAAUUCCUA
This 705-nucleotide long non-coding RNA is filed under the name Hordeum vulgare. Its description in RNAcentral is "long non-coding RNA (HVUL_LNC000533)". The record is from RNAcentral. Lineage: Eukaryota; Viridiplantae; Streptophyta; Magnoliopsida; Poales; Poaceae.